GAAUGUGGAGAGAGCAGAAGAUGUACUUAUGCACAAAAGAUUACUGCAAUUGGCUUGUGAUCCCGAUAAUAGACCUGCUAUUGAAAUUCGCCUCGUGCAGGUUCAUCCUGUUUCUGAUUGGAAUUUGUUUGAUUCUAACCUUUCAGAUUCACCUUAUAAAGAAGAUGCCCAAAGUAGUAGAAAGAGUGUACUUCCACCGCCUGCCUUUGGUUCAUCACCUAAUCUUGAAGCGCUUGCACUUGAAGCUACUAAAUGUGAAAGUGAUGAUGGUGAUAAUUCUGUGCAUGCAAAUUCAAAGUUCUCUAGGCCCUUGCAUGAAAUUACAUUUUCAACUGAUGACAAGCCAAAGCUUCUUAGUCAGUUCACUUCCUUGCUUGCUGAGAUUGGGUUGAAUAUCCAAGAAGCACAUGCUUUCUCCACGGUUGAUGGCUAUUCCUUGGAUGUCUUUGUUGUUGAUGGUUGGCCAUUUGAGGAGACAGAGCAGCUUAGAAUUGCAUUGGAAAAGGAAGUUUUUAGGAUUGAGAAGCAGAAUUGUUCGAAUCAUCAUUCAUUAUCACACACUAGCGAGCAUGAACAAACCCAGAUCAAAUGUGAUCCUGAUCAUGUGGCAAUACCUAAUGAUGGUAGUGAUGUCUGGGAAAUUAAUCUUAAGAACCUGAAGUUUGAGAACAAAGUUGCAUCUGGAUCAUAU
This 691-nucleotide unclassified non-coding RNA is filed under the name Hevea brasiliensis (rubber tree). Lineage: Eukaryota; Viridiplantae; Streptophyta; Magnoliopsida; Malpighiales; Euphorbiaceae. The record is from RNAcentral.